GCGAGUGGGAAUAUGAAGCGUC
This 22-nucleotide microRNA is filed under the name Heligmosomoides polygyrus. Its description in RNAcentral is "hpo-miR-10127-5p". The record is from miRBase by way of RNAcentral. Lineage: Eukaryota; Metazoa; Nematoda; Chromadorea; Rhabditida; Heligmosomidae.